Molecule: ribosomal RNA, 279 nt
Filed under: uncultured bacterium
Lineage: Bacteria
Description: partial 16S ribosomal RNA
Rfam family: Bacterial small subunit ribosomal RNA
Source: RNAcentral
UGCCAGCAGCCGCGGUAAUACGGAGGGUGCAAGCGUUAAUCGGAAUUACUGGGCGUAAAGCGAGUGUAGGCGGUUACAUAAGUCGGAUGUGAAAGCCCCGGGCUCAACCUGGGAAUGGCAUUCGAUACUGUGUGACUAGAGUUUGGUAGAGGUAAGUGGAAUUCCGGGUGUAGCGGUGAAAUGCGUAGAGAUCCGGAGGAACAUCAGUGGCGAAGGCGGCUUACUGGACCAAAACUGACGCUGAGGCUCGAAAGCGUGGGGAGCAAACAGGAUUAGAUA